This 528-nucleotide ribosomal RNA is filed under the name uncultured bacterium. RNAcentral's name for it is "partial 16S ribosomal RNA". It matches the Rfam family "Bacterial small subunit ribosomal RNA", at positions 355 to 874 of the family's 1533-position model. The record is from RNAcentral.
UGGGGAAUUUUGGACAAUGGGCGAAAGCCUGAUCCAGCAAUGCCGCGUGUGUGAAGAAGGCCUUCGGGUUGUAAAGCACUUUUGUCCGGAAAGAAAUCCUUGGCUCUAAUACAGUCGGGGGAUGACGGUACCGGAAGAAUAAGCACCGGCUAACUACGUGCCAGCAGCCGCGGUAAUACGUAGGGUGCAAGCGUUAAUCGGAAUUACUGGGCGUAAAGCGUGCGCAGGCGGUUUGCUAAGACCGAUGUGAAAUCCCCGGGCUCAACCUGGGAACUGCAUUGGUGACUGGCAGGCUAGAGUAUGGCAGAGGGGGGUAGAAUUCCACGUGUAGCAGUGAAAUGCGUAGAGAUGUGGAGGAAUACCGAUGGCGAAGGCAGCCCCCUGGGCCAAUACUGACGCUCAUGCACGAAAGCGUGGGGGAGCAAACAGGAUUAGAUACCCUGGUAGUCCACGCCCCUAAACGAUGUCAACUAGUUGUUGGGGAUUCAUUUCCUUAGUAACGUAGCUAACGCGUGAAGUUGACCGCCU